Molecule: long non-coding RNA, 13207 nt
Filed under: Capsicum annuum
Lineage: Eukaryota; Viridiplantae; Streptophyta; Magnoliopsida; Solanales; Solanaceae
Description: long non-coding RNA (CANN_LNC018995)
Source: RNAcentral
AAUUUCCAAUAAUACACCUACUUUGUUCCUCGAAAAAGAGAAAAAAGAUAGUUUGAUAUAAAAUUUUCACGAACAACUGAUGUCUACCAGGUAUGCACCCUUCUUCUUCUCGUGUGUUCUAUGAACUCGGGGUAUGCUAUUAGAGUAAUUCUUUAGUGAAUGAUUAAUUUGUUAUUGUGAAAAUUAGAUAUAAAACUGCAUAUAAAGCUGCAGUAGUUCCUCGAUCUAAUACUUUGCAUUAACAAAACACUUUUUUAUCUCCCCUCGGAAAACUUGUAGGUAGAAGCACUGUACCUUUCCCUAUUAAUUCCUUUUGAUAGGAUGAGCUAUAAAGAAACUAAUACCAUAAAUCAAAGAUAAUAUCUAGGUUCUAGCACAAAUACAAAAAUCAACUAAUUGUCAUUGUUGCUUAAUGGAUGUAAGGCUACUAAAUAUUUACUAACCCUUUCCUAUUGUUCUCUCCUGAUAGGACGAACAUCAAAGAUAUUAAUUCCACACAUCAAGGGGAGAAGUUUAGGAUAGUAAUUAGUGAAUACUAAGCAGCCAAACAUCCUUAAACCAAGUGACAGUAGGCAUCAGCAAUUGCACCAGAAAAUAGUAGAAGAUUACCUUUCCCAAUGUUUAUACCUUAGCUUGUAAACAUUGUAUACCUUUAAACUCUCGCCAGGUAUGAUGAUAGAUAGACUAUAUGAAUUCAUUUCAGGCAUUGUGAAGUUAAGCAAACCUAAAAUGUGGCAUCCUCAUCGAAUCUAUGUUAAGAAUUUUCUUUACUGUAGUAGAAAGAUAAGUACCUACAAAAUCCACAGCUAAGUUAGCAAAAAAAUCACCCACUGUGUGGUCGUCCCUCAAAGAGUGUUUCAAUUGGAUAGAAACAUUUUUCCUCAUCUUGUUAAUUGCUUCAACCUCCUUAACCACACUCCAAGGAAACUCUCAAGUUCCUGCAGUAAUAUUUAUCACAGUUAGAAAAUUAGUUUCGACUAUUAGGGGCAAUGAAUUCCUUUCAACGCAAAAGUGAAUUGCAUCACUUAAAGUCACUGCUUCAACAACUAUACUGGUUAAAUCAGGUAAUCUUCUCCCUUUUACUCCUACAAUAUCUCCUUCACCAUUUCUAAUAAAAAAAUAGAUGAACAAGGCCAAGAUUACCUUUGAAUGCACCAUCAGUGUUACAUUUAUACCAUCCAAGAGGAGGGUGUAAGCUUCUCAAGUCCUAUAACUGUACCUUGGAUCCAACUUUCCCGAACAACAAUAAGAGGCCAAAUCUUAGGUAAAUUCUAAAAUAGAGGAAAUAUGGUAGAAAUAAACUUAUAAAUAGUAUCAUUUACAUCAUAAACAAUCUUCUCAUAAGCAUACAACUACCAUGAAUGAUGGUAUUUCUACUUUCUGAAGGAACUAAAGAAUUAUGGUUAGGACAUCAGCCAUGACACUUUUAAACUUUUCAUUACCCCGUGCAUCUCUCCUUUUUUGGACAAUUUGUUUGAUCUUAAUGACAGACCUUUAUAUUCCAGCAGCACUUGAAAAAUAUGACCAUACCUUUUUGGCCUCCUCAUCAGUAAGCAAAAUAUGAUGUACAGAAUGUACCUCACAAACAUAUACAAUUAGGAUCACUAUAACUAUUCUAUUUAGCAGUAGUAGUAGCCAUAAGUAUUUUGGUGCUCCAAAUCCUCUAGGCUAAAAAUCCAAAUUUAAACUAUAAAACUUUCACCUAAAUCUGAUUGUAUUGGAUAUUCUCUUCCUCCUUGUCUCUUAGUAACUCCCAAGCAGAGCUGACCUUGAAUUUCUCUGUAUUGGUGAGUAACCACCAUGGCCUGUCAGAUAGACUAGAGGGGACAAAAUUACUCAUUUGUAAUUCAAUAUGCUCAACUGUUCUUGCUGGCAAAACCUGUUGUAAUUUAUCAAAUUUCCAGCCUUCCCCAUUCAUCAAUUCACUUAAAUCCAUCGUUUCAGGCCUAAUUUGACAUUUAGAACAUCAUGUAAAAAAAACAAGCUUGGUCUAAUUUUCAUACCAAAUAUUAUUGGUUCCUCCACUAGGUUCCCACCAAAUAUAGUUUUCUAGCACAACCCUAUUUUCUAACAUGUACUUCUAUACUCGAGAAACCCUUUUCCAAAGAACCAUUAUGAAAAUUUCUUUCUUGCAAUUUUAUUCCACAUAAAUUUUCCCAUAGAGAUCUACUAGUUCUAAAAUUCCACCAUAACUUUAUGCAAACAUAGCCUUGGAAACAUCAAACAGGGAUUUGAAUCCUAGACCCCCUUCUUCCUUGGUACACAAACAUUAUGCCAAGUAGCCCAAUACUUUCUUCCACUUGUUUUUUUGUUGUUCCAAAAGAACCUAGCAAAAUUCUUGUGUAACUCUAUUGUUACACAUUUUAGAGGAACAAUAGCAGACAUGACAUGAAUAGGGAUACUUUGUAGUACACUAUAAAUUAAUGUUGCCUUACCACCAUAUGAGAGCAUCCUCCCCUACCAAGUUUGGAGUUUAUUUUUCAUCUUUGUAAUGAGUUCAUUAUAGUCACUAUUUCUUUUCAUAGCAUGGGUGAUAGGACACCCUAAAUAAGAAAAAUAAAUCUGACCUCUUAAAAUGCUUGUACAUCUAUUAACCAAACCUAUUAGAUGAGCACUAGGAUUCUGAUGCACGUACCAAAUACUCUUUCCUUUAUUAUUCAACUGUCCAGACUUAUUUUCGUACCGGCCCGGCUUUCAUGAUUUUCUUGAGAGAUAUCUCGUGCGCUGUGGAAAAAAUGAUAGCAUCAUCAAUAUAUGCUGAAUGAUUCAGAUUUGCACUCCAUUAAGGCAUGCCAUAUCCCACAUUUUGACCAUCCUCAUAAAAAUCAUUCAAAGCUCUGGUUAACACGUCUGCACUUAGAAUGAAUAAAGUUGGGGAGAAAGGGUCACCCUAUUUGACUAGGGUUGUGCAAAAAUCGAACUGAUCGAUAAAUCGAACCAAUAAAAAUGUUAUUGGGUUAUUGGUAUUGGGUUAUCAGGUUAACGAUUUUUUAUUGGUUUUAUAAAAAAUUUUAUUGGGUAAACGGUUCGGUAUUGGUUUUAGUAUAUUGGGUUAUCGGUUAAACCGAUAACCCAAUAAGGAUACACUAAUUUAUUGUUUCAUCCCUAUUUAUAUUAUAUAUUUAAAUCUCUCUCUUUAUCUCUCUAUAUAUGUAUGUAUGUAUGUAUAUAAAUUAUAUGCACUACUAAUUCAUAAUUUAGUGAUUCACAAAGUAUUAACCUAUUCAGGGCAAUAAAGGUACAAUAUAAAGUUUGACUAUUAUCGUAAUAAAAAGCUUGAAGCAUUUAUAGCUUCCAACAAUUAGGAUUCAAUUUUCUUCCUAACUAACAUUCAGUUUAAGUUUGAAGAUUUUUGUAAACUAAAAUGCAUUGCAUAGGUUUUGGCGGUAAUUAAGAUUUCAUUUUUUAUGUUAGUUGUUACUAUUUCUAUUUUAUAAGUAUUUUCUUAUUGGUUAAACUGAAAACCAAACCGUUAAGAACAAAAAAUCGAUAAACCGAAACCGAUAAGAAAAUAUCUUAUUGGUUGGUUAUUGGUUUUACAUAUUUAAAAAUCGAAAAUUGAUAAACCGAACCAAUAAUACUUAAAACCGAACCGAGCCGACCGUUGCACACCUCUAUAUUUGACCCCUCUAAUGAAGCAAAAAAAAUCCCUGAGCCUGCCCAUUUGCUAGCACUGAAUACCUAUUAUUUGCUAUAAUUCUCUAAAUGAUAUUGAUAAAUGCCUUUAAAAAGCCCAUCUUUCUCAGGACUUUCAUUAAAUAAAACUAAGCUACUCUAUCAUAAGCCUUUUUCAUGUCUUGCUUGAUGAUAAGAUUGGUUGGUUUCCCCCUUUUAGUGGUGUCUAAAUUAAUCUCUUGAGUAAGCAAUACAUUUUCAAUAAUGUUGCUUCUCUUCACAAAUCCUAAUUGAUCAGCAGAGAUCAAUAUAGGUAGCACCAUCAAUAGUCUAUCACGAAUAACCUUAUAUAGACCUUUAUUGAUAAAGUUAUUCAAGCUUAUAGGUCUAAGGUAAACAAAUGUGAGUGAUGGAUUUUGUGAAGUAUUACUUGAGAAAAAGGUGAAAACCAUCUUCCACAAAUCAAGAUCUACAAUAUCCCAACACCUAUAUGUAACGCCCCGGAAAACGGGUCCCGGAGCAUCAUACGGUGCUUGAGGCUAUGAGUAGCCCCAAGCUAACCCUUUGACCCAUUUUCAUUCGGUUCAACACAAAUCAACGGGGUUUUCAUAAAUAACCCUCAAAUAUCAACAUAGUAAUCAUCAUCCAAGAAUAAAAGAAUUUCAGAAAGAUAACAAAAUAUGACUUAUUAGUCAACGCCCAAUAUCUAUACUAGUCUGACAAGCCUCUAAGAAAAUCAAUAAAACUAGCGAACCAUUGAGACAUGCCCCAACUGGCUCAUACUCAGUUAUCAAAUGUAAACAAUUCCGUGAAACCAACAUCAGACGUCACGUCUUCGGAACAUAAGGACUCACCACAACAGAGGAUGUAGAACAGCGUGCCCGAAGAAUCACUGUCGAACCUGGAACUGAGCACCUGAACCUACAUUUCGAGAAAAUGCAUCCCACAUCCGAAGAUGUGGGUCAGUACCAUGGAAAGGAACCGAGUAUAUGGGGGUGUAUGCAGUUUUAUAAACAUCAUCAUCAUAAAUAUUUAUAAGAAAUAUGCAGGAUGUAUGAAAGACUCACAUAGCCCGAAGAAAAUCAUCAUAAUCAUGAGAGGAUGAAAUAAGUAUAAUAACAUAUGUGAGUCAUCAUAUAAUUUUUCAAUCACUUUCAGUUCAUCAAGAAUAUCAAUUCUCAUAAUGUAAAUAUCAUUUAAAUCUUUCGAAAGAAUAACUUUCACAAUUCUACUUUCAAAUUACUUCACCGUUCACCAUAGACACAAAGAAACACACACACACACUGGGAGAUCCUAUAACCGACAUAAACCAUGUGAUCUACAUGGAGUUCAACGUCUCAUAAAAUACGGUUCACUACUAUUCACGGUUCGAUCGGAAUGUUCAUAACUCGUCGCUCGGGUGUCUGUUUUGGAUGAUCCAUAUAUAGUUAGAAAGCUUAUUCAAUACUUUACGCAAUGGUGGGUCAUAAUCUAAGAUAUUCCAUACGAAAAAUUUAUAAUUCACUUUAGAAGAUAGAAUCCAACACGUUUACGCACAAAAUUUCAACGAAAAAUUUCCCGAGGUAUUACACUAUGAUAGAAAAGACUUAUGAAAACAUUUGGACCACUAGCACUGUGCCCAUUAAGGUUAAAACUAGCCGUUUUGACCUCUUCCAUAGUAGGCAUAAUGUAAAGUAAAAUAUUAUCUUCUUCAGUGAUGAUCUGUGGAAUAUGUCUAAGGAGUAAAAAGUUUGUAGCAUCCCUCUCUUGAGUAAACUAUUUCAGGUAGAACCUUUUAGAUUCAUCUCUUAUUUGUUUUUUAUAUUCUAGAAUAUCUCCUUUCUCCUUAUGACGUCUUGCCAAAUACAAUCUCUUCCUUCUUUCUUUCACUAGACUAUGAAGGAAUCUAGUAUUUCUUUCCUUUUUUUCAAACCAUGUAAAACGGACUUCUAUUUUUAGUACUCUUCCUCAAAAUGUAAAUACUUUUUGAAUCCUACUUGUAUUUUCUACAUAACUUCUCUAUUCAGACUACUUGGAUCUUCUUUAAAUAAUUUCUCUUUGAUCUUAACAAUAUCCUCUCUAAUUAUUAACUACUGAAAAAUAUCACCAUAUACUUCUUUACUCUAUAGAAUGAGUACAAAUUUCAUCUUCUUUAAUUUCUCCUUGAAGAUAAACAAGGGUUAUCGACAUCAGAAUUAGAAACAUGCCAGUUCUUCCUCACUAUUUGCAUGAAACUAUCAUGUUCUACCCAAAAAUUUAGAACUUUAAACGAUUAGCUAAUAGACACCACAUGCUCACUCAGUUAAGUAGCAUUGGAGCAUGAUCAGGCCUAAUCCUUGAUAGAUGAUCAACCUCUGUAUGAUUGAACCAAUUUUGAAACCCCUAGUUAAUUAAAACUCUAUCAAGCCUUCCAAAAAUACAGCCCUCCACAACUCUACCAUUCCACCAUGUUAAAGGAAUACCUAUGAAAAGCACUUCUGUCAAGUCACAAGAACCAAUACAGUUUGCAAAGCAUUUAUAUCAACAUACUGUACAACAAGCCCACCUAACUUCUCUUCCUCAUACAAAACUACAUUGAAAUCACUACCUAAUAUCCAUGAAAGAACAAUAGAAUUGUUUAAUUGAUAAAUUUCCUUCCAUAAAGCUUAUUUUCCCACUAUCAUAUUUUGCAUAGACAAGUGUUAUUUAUAAAUCUUUGAUUAAAGUAGAACCCCAAACCUUAAUAGUGAGAUAUUGUGCUACAUCCAAUACAAUGUCUACCUAAAACCUUCUUUGACAAAAAUCCAGAUUUUGCCAUUAUAAUUUGAUCUCUCAAAUGGAAUUCAUAGUCUUCUUCGAUAUUUAUUGAUUACUCUAGUCUAUUAAAAGGUCUCCAUUAAGAAAUAAAAGUAAAUUUAUGUGCUUUAUUAAGAAUUUGAACACUUUGAAAAGCUUUUUGUGUCUUUAAAGACCUAAUAUUCCAAAAGAAGAACUUCAUUAUUAAGCCUUGGUCUUGUGCAACCCUAUUCUUGGCCUUGUCCUAGUAGACAGAAUUCCAACAUAAGUGCUACUAUUCUUGAAUUUUCUGCAAGACUUGUUGCUUUUCAGAGGGGUAUCUAUUUUAUUUUUUCAUUAUCAUCCUGAUUAUCUUCAUUCGUGAUGAAAAAAUUUCUUUCCUGUUGUGUUUGUUGUGCUUAAAACUAAGGUGAAGUUUUACCUAUAAAAUAUGAAUCAACUUCACCUGUGUUGGUAGAAUAACUCUGCUGCAGUGUUUUUUGUGCUUGAGAUUAAGGUAGAACUUCACCUAUAGAAUGUGAACUAACGCCCUCUAUAUUGAUAGAACUAUUGUACUUUGAUCACGCUCACCUAUAGCAUUGUUUGGUGUAGGACAAUUGUUGUCAAUAUAAUUACCCAACUUGAGUUCGGGUCGAAUCCACGAGGAGUGUAACUAGUAUUCGAAUCCUAUGUAUGUUGAAAACUUUUAAGUAUUUACCCGCAAUGUAAACAUAAAGUAAGACAUAAAUUAAAAUUGGGGGGUAUAGUUUAAAAAGUUGUUUGAACAAAAUUCACUUGAACUGCCAAUUUAGAGCAAUAAUUUUUAGAUAAAAAUUCAAUAGGAGAAUAGUCUUAGGAUUAUGCUUUCCUAGGGGUAAAUAUUGUAUGGGUACAAUGAACAUAUGGGUAGGCUGGGUUUGGGGUUUUGGUGUUAGGCUUUCAACCAAACACCAAAAAUACCACCCAUGGAUUCUUUCGAAUACCUCAUAGGUAUGGCACACAAAUCAAUCCAAAACCUCAAUUGGGCAUCCCUAUUUCGAGGAAGAUUCCAAAGACAUAGAAAAUUCACCAUCCAUCUUUAUUUCUAAGACAACUGAUAAGUCAUCAAUUUGAGGAUUUUUUAGAACCUAUUAAGCCUAAAUUACUAUGUUUUUCCAUUAGUUUUAUGUUAAUCUCUUGCUUGAUGCUCAUUGGUGUAGGAAAAAAUAAAAAGGGAGGAUGAGCAAGUCAUUCAAGUCAAAAAGAGGUUAAAUGUUAAACAACAGAGUUAAAUUCUAGAAAUCAAGCCUAGGAAUCGACCCUUAGUUACCGCGAUCGUAGCCUGAGGGUCGUGAUCGCGACUGGUCAAUAAGUCAACUAGAGGGCAAUCGCGAUAUGAAUAUCACGAUUGUGAUCGCGGGAGUCGCGAAUGUGGUGAAGAGGUGGAGAUCGCAGUAGAGUGGAAAAGUUUCAAGGGCAUUUUUGUAAUAUUUGAAAAAUGGAAUUGGGGCUCAAAUAAGUGUUUUUAGCUCAUUUUUCACCAUCCAUUAUUCAUCUUUCAUCAUCAACUUAGCUUAGCUGUAGGGUUUUGUUUUCUUUGGAGUUUGGAGCUUAAAUUUGUACUAAUUUGAGACAAGAAUCAAUUAAUGGAACUCCAAAGUAUAGAUUUGGCAUCACCCAUUGAAGAUUCAUUGGAUUUUAAAGUGUGGUUUUUCCACCCUUAUUUUUAAUGAAUAACUUUGGUGGAAAUGUUGGUAUAUUCGUGUUUAUUAUCUUUAUGAUUUGCUAGAUCUACCUCUUGGAAUUAUGUUUGAGUAGAGUGCAAGUGUGUGGAUAUUGAUUGUUAGAUUCAACUUAUGGUUAAUGUUGAUGGGUUUUACAAAUGUUUGAAUGCAAAAUGGGAAUUGUAGGUGAGAACCUCAAUUUCCCCUAAAAUUCCCACACCAUCCUUGAAAUAGGGAUGCGGGUAGUCUAGAUCCUACAUCAUCCUUGAAAAAGGGAUGUAGGUGACAUAAAUAUUUGUGAACAAUAAUGUAGAUAGUAGUUAUUCCCAUAUUGUUGUCUUAGAAAUUAGGAUAAAAUGUGGAAUUGCUAUCUCUUGAACAUUAUCCUAGAAAUAGGGAUGUUAAAUUAAGGCUUUUGGGUUGAUUAGAAUGUCAACACCCGUGAUAUUUUGGUAUUUUUUGAGAGACUAACACCGAAACCCUGAACCUAGCCUACCCACUCACACAGUAAUUAAAAUUUUAUGCUAUCUUUCAUAUAUUCGCUCACACUAGUUUGCUCUUAGGAAAUAUAAUCCCAAGAUCUAUUCCUAAUUGAUUGCACUCUAAUUAUUCUUAGUCUCGAAUUAGUCCUUUAGAAUCCCAAAAUUUGUCUUAUAGUUUUGAAAAAAUUCUAAAAUCUCUAAAAAUUUUUGAAUAAUAUGUUUGAAUUUAACAAGUGACUUUAAUUCCAAACUUAUUUAAUUUCCACUAGCAUUGUUCCUCGUGGAUUUGACCUCAACUCAAAGUUGGGUAAAUAUAUUGACCACGAUCACCUUGCACUUAAAUUAACGUGUAAGUUGAGUGUUAUAAAAAAUGGCACCGUUGUCGGAGAAUAAUUUAGCGUAUUGUGUUAGUUUAGAAUUUUAGCUUACUUGCUUUGGUUCAAACUUGUAAAUAUUUGUUUGUAAUUUUCUUUUGUUCUUUGUUUAGGUAGAUUUUUAUUUUUAUUUAUUUAUUACUAUAGCAUCUUAGAAUGAAUAUGAGUUUGGUGGUUGGAAAUCUUAUCUUGAUAACCCAUGUUCAUGUUAUGGUCGACCCCACUUUUGGCAAUGUUAUAGUUAUACUCCCCGAAAAGAGAUGUGUGCACCUUCUCGAUCCUCUUGGGAGUAUGAUUGUUCCUUAUGUGGUGGUCGAGAUGGACAUUGGAGAAAUUGUCCAAAUACCCCUUUCCCUCGUUAUACUAAACCAAAUUAUGGUUCUUCUUAUGAGUUUGAUAGGUCUUAAGAUGAGAAAAAGGAAGAACAAUGUGACAGAUACAAUGGUGUUUAAGCAACACUUCAACUUAUCUUAGAUCGGGUGUAAACAAUGGGGUAUAACAUUCAUCUUAUGCAUCAAGCCAUGUGGGCAUGUAGAAAGGAAAUUAAAAGGAUAUAAGAAAUGGGUAAUGAGUCCGACAUUUCAAAAACUAUGAAUAUACCCACUCUUCAAAAUGAGGUUAAAGAAGAAAAAAUGUCAAGCACAUGGAUUAUGGCAAGCUUGAUAGUGAAUAACCCUCAAUGGUUUCCCAACCAACCAAACCAAACACGUGAGAUGAUGCUAAGAUUGAGGAAAUGACACAAUAGCCAAAAGAAAAAGGCAGACAAAUACUUUAUGAAGGCUCUAGUUCAUUUUGGGGUGAGAAUAUCAAGAAGUAUGCGAGUUCAAAAUUAGGAAGAAGACCUCACUCAAAACGCUUUUCAACAUUAUACUUGGUGGAUGUGAUGAAAUACAAACCACCCAACCAAAUGAUGAAUUUUGGAGCUGAGGAGGAAAAUCCCUACAUUUUGGAGUUUGUCAUUCCAAAAGGGCAAAAUGAAGCCCCUCACUUGAAGGAAAAAAUACAAAAUUCGAUGUGUAAUAAGUGAAUUCUUGAUGUUCUCAUCGAUACCCAAUGAGCAUAUUAGGAAGUUUUGAUGUGAAGUUUGGUAAAAGAUUCAAGUCCUUAAAAUAGAGAGAUAAAAAAUAUUUUGUUGUGUCCUCACCUUUGCCCAAAGUACCUCGAAAAUGUAUUGAUCUAAAGUUGGGACACCAAUUUAAAUCUUCUAAAUGGAGACACAAAUGAUAGUCAAAAGAUGUCGUGCUACUACUUUAACUAAGGCACUUCUUGAGAGGCAACCCAAGAACUUUUUCUUGAUGUUUUCUAGUAUCUUGGUUAAAUUUUUAGCUUGUUUUUGGGUGUUUGUAGGUGAUAGCAAGUUAUAAUGGGUACCUCAAGAUGAAACCCAGGAUAAGUACAGUGGAAUUUCUUUUCAUCACUUUUCUCUUUUAAGUAAGCUUACAAGGUAUGAUCUUUAAAAUACAAAUGAUGACACAUUCCAUGGUAUCUUUUUGUUUGAAUUUAAUUCAUUUAAGCUUAAUUUGGUAGAAUAUAGUUAUUGGGAUGAGGAUUUUUGAAUGUGUGCCUUGUCUCAAAUGCUAAAUUGCAAAAUUGUUAUUUUCAUACACUAGUGCACACCACGUGUUUGAUGAAACACCCACUUGAGGUUUGUUUGCUUAAUUGAGUGGUGGGUGAUUUAAUCGGGUUAGUAUGAUUAUAAGUGGUGUGUUUGGUAAUAAAUUAGUGUAUUGGUAUUGUUCACAUAUGUUGUUAUUCUAUUUAUUCAAGCUCUCACUUUUCAUGCACACCACAUGUUUGUUAAAUUGUCAAUAAGAGAAAAAUGUCUUAUAUGCUUGUAAAGGUUAAUGUGAACUUUCUUGGGGCGUUAUGUGAUUAUUUUUGGAGUAUAGCUUUGAGUCCAAUUUGUCUUGAAUGUGGAAUAACCGGUGGUCUUUGGUUGAAAUUUUUGAGGAAUGUUGCGCCCAUGGUAAGAACAACAUGAAUGAUUGCUUUACCCUAUGAUAGAUUGGGUGACACCAUUCUUAUGGGUAUUGGACCAUUUGUGUUUCUAUUGGUGUUAUGAGUGUUUCAUGAUCUAAAUGGGCAAUAUGUGAAAUUGUGAGGAAAUAAUCCCAUGAAUUUUAAUGAUAAUGUUGCCUUACAUUCCCUUAAAUUUUUCUUUAAUUGUUUAGGAAUAGGCAAAAGUUCAAAAAUGCUUUCAAAAUAUUAUGGCCAAAAAUGAAAUGAUAUUGAGAAAAACCAAAAAAAUUAUAGUUUUCUUUGUGAAAAUGAUCAAGGAUGUUCUUGACCUUUCUUUUGAAUGAGACCAUUAAUUUUACUUUUUGGUUCUCUCUUUACAAGAACGAGUCCUUAACUCGGAGUAACUUAUUAAGCUCAAAUUGGUUGGGAGAUUAACUUUUUUCUCUAUGAGUACUAUGCCAUGUGUUGUGAGAUUUUGAAUAAUUUUUAUACAUAUGUGUAGUCUAGAACUUGUCCUGAGUGUGUUCAAAGCAAAAUUCUAGACAAGCUUGGUUUGGAGGAUGACCCGAGGCCAUUUUUAACACAUCACAUAGCCAAAUUCCCACCUUAACAUCGUUUUCUAGUUAGCCCCUUUGAGCCUUUUUGCCUAUUUUUCUUUCUUUUUGUAAUGAUAAUUUUGCUAAAACACCUAACCCCUUUUAAAAUCUUCCUUUUGACACUUAACCUCCUUUGAUACAUCAAAUGAUUCAAAGUAAUGAAAUGUAGGUGAAAGCCUAACUUUUGGGCAUUUGUGUAGUUGGGAGAAUAAUGUAAGGGUGGUUCAAACUCCAAGUUUGGGGGGAAUUAAUGUGAUGUGCUAAGAUGGACCAAUAAAGGUGUAUGUAAGGUGGUCAAAGAUACAAGAGACAUACUUAACGGUAAAGUUGUAUAGCCUAACCCAUAGAAUGUGAAGAGAAAAGAGGCAAAUGAGGGGGCUAAAUAACGCUUAAAGUUAGAAAGGUUCUUGAAAAAGCAGAAGAAAUAAAGAAAGGAAAUAGUGGCUUUGAAUUGUUUUGUAAAGGCUAAUAAAAAAGGUAGGGAGAUAUGAGAAAUAGUUUUUCGGAGAAUAAGGCAGAUAGUUUGAAAAUUUUAGGGUAGAAGGGGUUGAGGAAUUGCAUUGAAAGAGGUAUUUUAGUCACUUGACCCAUGUAUAUUCUUUCCCGCACCUUAAACCUUAAUAUUGACCCAUAAGACCAUGGUGAUUUCAAACUAGGUAAGUCUACAAUAGUGCCAGAAACACAAAGGGCAAGCCUAUGGUCCUUCUCAUUGUACUUGAAUUUCCUUGCGAGAGUGAGUGUUAAUUCUUUCAUUAUUUAGGCUCCUUUAGAAAUUUCAAUAUCUUUUGUGUGUGGAUCUAACUCUUCCUUGUGAGCGGCAUCAAUACUUUAGGGUAGAGGGUGAAUUCUUACUCUCAGUUUGGGUAAAUGGGUUAAGUAAGUUGCAUUGUGAAGAUUGAGACAAGUUGUAUUGUGAAGAUUAAGGCAAUCUUUGAAGAUUUUGUGUCUCCUCUUAAGAUUCUUAGUGAAUUGGAAGGUUAAUGUGUUACAAACUUGCAUCCUUUCUUCAUAAGAUGUGCUUGUUGAAAAUUUUGGUUCACUUGUUGCCAUGACAUGUUUGAAAGUCUUUAUAAAGCUUUGUUAACUUGUUCCUUUAGUAUAGCUUUAUUUUGGGUGGAUUUGAGUUGAAUACCCUAUCUCAUUGAAUUAUUCUUAGUUUCUUGAGGACAAGCAUUAGUUUAAGUUUGGGGGUGUUGAUAAGUCUUCAAUUUGAGGAUUUUCUAGCACCUAUUAAGCCUACAUUACCAUGCUUUUCCAUUAAUUUUAUGUUAGUCUCUUACUUAAUGCUUAUUUGUGUAGGAAAAGAUAAAAAGGGAUGAUGAGCAAGUCAUUCAACUCAAAAGAGGUUAAAUAUGAAAGAAAAGAGUCAAAUGCUAGAAAUCAAGCCUAAGAAUCGGCCCUCAGUUACUGCGAUCACGGCUUAAGGGUCGCGAUCGCGACCAAUCAACAGGUUAACCAGAGGGCGAUCGCUAUAUGACUAUCGCGAUUGAGGGAGUCGCAAACAUGGUGAAGAGGUGGCAAUCGCGGUAGAGCGAAAAAGUUUCAUGGGAAUUUUUGUGAUAUUUGAAAAAUAUGGAAUUGGGGCUCGAAUAAAGGGUUUUAGCUCAUUUUUCAGCAUCCAUUAUUCAUCUUUCAUCAUCAAAUUAGCUUAGUUGUAGGGUUUUGUUUUCUUUGGAUCUUGAAGCUUAAAUUUGUACUAAUUUGAGACAAGAAUCAAUUAUAGGAAUUCCAAAGUAUAGAUUUGG